GGGCGCAAGCCUGAUGCAACCAUGCCGCGUGUAUGAAGAAUGCCUUCGGGUUGUAAAGUACUUUCAUCAGUGAGGAAGGGGGUGUCGUUAAUAACAGCAUCUCUUGACGUUAGCUGCACAAGAAGCACCGGCUAACUCCGUGCCAGCAGCCGCGGUAAUACGGAGGGUGCGAGCGUUAAUCGGAAUUACUGGGCGUAAAGCGCAUGCACGUGGUUUGUUAAGUCAUAUGUGAAAGCCCGGGGCUCAACCUCGGAACUGCAUUUGAAACUGGCAAACUAGAGUACUGUAGAGGGGGGUAGAAUUUCAGGUGUAGCGGUGAAAUGCGUAGAGAUCUGAAGGAAUACCAGUGGCGAAGGCGGCCCCCUGGACAGAUACUGACACUCAGAUGCGAAAGCGUGGGGAGCAAACAGGAUUAGAUACCCUGGUAGUCCACGCCGUAAACGAUGUCUACUUGGAGGUUGUGGCCUUGAGCCGUGGCUUUCGGAGCUAACGCGUUAAGUAGACCGCCUGGGGAGUACGGUCGCAAGAUUAAAACUCAAAUGAAUUGACGGGGGCCCGCA
This 560-nucleotide ribosomal RNA is filed under the name uncultured bacterium. Its description in RNAcentral is "bacterial SSU rRNA". It matches the Rfam family "Bacterial small subunit ribosomal RNA", at positions 373 to 925 of the family's 1533-position model. The record is from RNAcentral.